This 449-nucleotide ribosomal RNA is filed under the name uncultured bacterium. RNAcentral's name for it is "partial 16S ribosomal RNA". It matches the Rfam family "Bacterial small subunit ribosomal RNA", at positions 29 to 523 of the family's 1533-position model. The record is from RNAcentral.
AACGAACGCUGGCGGCAUGCUUAACACAUGCAAGUCGAACGAGACCUUCGGGUCUAGUGGCGCACGGGUGCGUAACGCGUGGGAAUCUGCCCUUUGCUACAGAAUAACUCAGAGAAAUUGGUGCUAAUACCGUAUAAGUUCGUAAGACCAAAGAGUUAUCGGCAAGGGGUGAGCCUGCGUAAGAUUGGCUUGUUGGUGGGGGAAAGGCCUACCAAGGCGACGAUCUUGAGCUGGUCUGAGAGGAUUAUCAGCCACACUGGGACUGAGACACGGCCAAGACACCUACGGGAGGCAGCAGUGGGGAAUAUUGGACAAUGGGCGAAAGCCUGAUCCAGCAAUGCCGCGUGAGUGAUGAAGGCCUUAGGGUUGUAAAGCUCUUUUACCAGGGAUGAUAAUGACAGUACCUGGAGAAUAAGCUCCGGCUAACUCCGUGCCAGCCGCCGCGGUAA